Molecule: long non-coding RNA, 1104 nt
Filed under: Sus scrofa (pig)
Lineage: Eukaryota; Metazoa; Chordata; Mammalia; Artiodactyla; Suidae
Source: RNAcentral
CGCCAUCUUGGACGGCCGUGUCGUGCCGUCCUCGUCUCUGCACACGGCCCGCCCGCCGAGCUGAGGUGUCAGGCGCAGCCGUGUAUGUUUCCUACCAGGGACGCUGCUUUGAAGUGCCGGGUGGGAGGCCUCUGCACUCGGCCCCCUAGGAGCAAGUGAAACUAGACUGAGCACAAAGGAGAAGAGAAGGAAAAAAAAGAGGCUCAGCAGGAAGACUUUGAGAACACCCCCAUCUAAGAAAACCACAGUGAGGAAAGGCCAACAAAGUGCUGAGAAACAGAGAAGACUGUUGAGGAAAGAAGCAGAUGAAUUCAGCAGAAUUGGAGUCCAGUUCUCUAGGAAGCACCUCCUGGUAAUCUCUGGCCACCCUGGAGUUGUCAUCCCUGCAGAUUAUUGAAAUGGCUCGCCUAUGCAGCUGGCUAGGAUCCAAUUUGGCUACAGCCCGCCCUCGCUGAAGUCCGUGUUCAGUUCAUCUCUCUGGUAAUCCUCUGACUCUACUCUUGGAUUUAGUCCAAGUAUCUCUCUUGUUCUUAAUGAGUUCCAGGACGGAAGAUUCCACAGCCUCCUCUGACAGCUUAUAUUAUAGUGCUUUAUAAUACUGUCAAGAAAUGCCUAUUUCUACUACAACUCAUUUCCUCUUUUUCUAAAUGAGUGAAAAUAGAGAUGAGACCACCGCUGUCUUCUCUCCUGGUAGCCCUUGUGUCCUAUGAUCCUGUGAAGGUAGUUUAGUGCGUUAGCCCUCAAGUUUCUUUCUGGAAAGUGUAGGGGAAUAUAUCUUUGUAUGUUCCCAAUCUGAGGCACUAUUAAAUGUGAAUGAAUCAACUCUCUUGAGAGUUGAAGUGAUUCUUUUGGGUACUUGUUCCAGCUGAGCUGUUAUCUCACAAAGACUUGUUUCUUUUCCUAGUUGGCAUUCAUUUAAUACUUUCACAUAAGCCUGAGGAGGGCUGACAGUUUAUUUUCCUGAUGAUUGGGCAAAGCUCAUUGUUCUGACACUAACCUGUCUGCUUAAUAUCCAGCUCUUUGAACCCAUGUCUGAUCCUCAGUUCUGGAACCUUGCCUCCUGUUUGCAGUAUGGUCACUUCAAGGUCUAUGGCUUAUAUUGAC